This 77-nucleotide transfer RNA is filed under the name Litorilinea aerophila. RNAcentral describes it as "tRNA-Lys". It matches the Rfam family "tRNA". Rfam says of the family: Transfer RNA (tRNA) molecules are approximately 80 nucleotides in length. Their secondary structure includes four short double-helical elements and three loops (D, anti-codon, and T loops). Further hydrogen bonds mediate the characteristic L-shaped molecular structure. tRNAs have two regions of fundamental functional importance: the anti-codon, which is responsible for specific mRNA codon recognition, and the 3' end, to which the tRNAs corresponding amino acid is attached (by aminoacyl-tRNA synthetases). tRNAs cope with the degeneracy of the genetic code in two manners: having more than one tRNA (with a specific anti-codon) for a particular amino acid; and 'wobble' base-pairing, i.e. permitting non-standard base-pairing at the 3rd anti-codon position. Lineage: Bacteria; Bacillati; Chloroflexota; Caldilineae; Caldilineales; Caldilineaceae. The record is from RNAcentral.
GGCCCACUAGCUCAAUUUGGCAGAGCAGCUGACUCUUAAUCAGCGGGUUCGGGGUUCGAGUCCCUGGUGGGUCACCU